This 819-nucleotide long non-coding RNA is filed under the name Elaeis guineensis (African oil palm). RNAcentral describes it as "long non-coding RNA (EGUI_LNC020799)". Lineage: Eukaryota; Viridiplantae; Streptophyta; Magnoliopsida; Arecales; Arecaceae. The record is from RNAcentral.
CCUCGGAGCGCUAUUAGGGUGAUCCACGUCCAGCAAUCUCUUCUGUCUGGACGACUGCAUCGACUUUGUUUGUAUUAAUAAUGCAUCAAAAUAUUUUUGCGAAUCUCUUUGUGCUAUCUUCUGUCAUGACCUUCAGACUUUCAUCUAAGAAGCUAGCCUGUAGAAGCUCGGCACUGUCAGCAAGAAGGUGCACCCGAGUCAUUAUCUUACAUCUCUCAAAGCCUGAGGAGAAUGCUGUCUUGCAGGUCUAAUUUAUAAUCUCGGGCCCUCUUCUCGCCAGCCGAUCUAUCCUCUUGAGAACGUUCGCAGUUAAAAGCUCAUGAUUUGAGAGUCGACGGUGGAGGAAAGCCUGACCUUCUCUCUCCUCCUUUAGCUUCUCCUUCAGGCACUCUAUAUUUGACAGGACCUCCUAAAGUUCAUUCCAAGGUGUAGACGGCUCUUGAGUCACUUGAAUUCUCUUGGAGGCAAAGCCUUAAUCCCUCUGAGGCAUUUUUCCUUUGUGGCUUGCUCUAUCCGAAGUUCUGGCCCUUUUAACUGACCUUCUACUAGGGCAACUUUGAGAAUGAAUCUCAAGAGGGGUAGAGUCUCGACCCCUUCUUCUUUCGAGCAUCCUCCUUAGGUGCUCUAUAUCGUUGUGGGCUCGACGGUAAUCUCUCUCAGCUCUAGAUCUUUGCCUCUCGAGAUCUUCAAUCUUCUUUUCAACCCUCCUUAACUCGUCAUCUCGACGAUCGAUCAUUUCUCGAGCUUCUCGGAGAGCAUCCUCAGAAGAGUUGACUUCCUUGAUCAACUCGGCGAUAGCCGAUUGUUCAUGCUCCAAAA